RNAcentral lists this ribosomal RNA (482 nucleotides) under uncultured bacterium. RNAcentral describes it as "partial 16S ribosomal RNA". It matches the Rfam family "Bacterial small subunit ribosomal RNA", at positions 30 to 507 of the family's 1533-position model. The record is from RNAcentral.
AUUGAACGCUGGCGGCAUGCCUUACACAUGCAAGUCGAACGGUAACAGGUCUUCGGAUGCUGACGAGUGGCGAACGGGUGAGUAAUACAUCGGAACGUGCCCGAUCGUGGGGGAUAACGAAGCGAAAGCUUUGCUAAUACCGCAUAAGAUCUACGGAUGAAAGCAGGGGACCGCAAGGCCUUGCGCGAACGGAGCGGCCGAUGGCAGAUUGGGUAGUUGGUGGGAUAAAAGCUUACCAAGCCGACGAUCUGUAGCUGGUCUGAGAGGACGACCAGCCACACUGGGACUGAGCCACGGCACAGACUCCUACGGGAGGCAGCAGUGGGGAAUUUUGGACAAUGGGCGAAAGCCUGAUCCAGCCAUGCCGCGUGCAGGAUGAAGGCCUUCGGGUUGUAAAAUGCUUUUGUACGGAACGAAAAGACUCUGGUUAAUACCUGGGGUCCAUGACGGUACCGUAAGAAUAAGCACCGGCUAACUACGUG